UUUCCGUAGGUGAACCUGCGGAAGGAUCAUUAGAACACUACAACCAAUCAAACCAAACUGACUGUGAAACUACAAUCAACAAGCUUGGGUCCAUCGUCGCUGCAUCAGAGCACUCAUAAUGGGUGGUCAGAAGCUUCGGCUUCUGACUCUUUUCUCAUUCGUUCUGCGGGUGGGACAGGGAGUCUUUCUGUGCUUGGCUGGGUUUGCCUUGCCUCUCUACUUGAAACCUAGGGAGCGAGAGCAGCCAGACGAAGGAUGCCGAGAUUUCUUUCCUUGGAGCAAUUCCCAUUGUUUGAUCCAAGCAGUUCCCCAGCCCCUUUUUAACGCUUCAACAAGCAACAAACAAACUUAUGAACAGCAGGCUGUGGCUUCGGCUUCAGCGUUGUGCUGUACUAAUCCAAUCCAAGAGGAAACAAACGAGCGCGGCUGUUGCAGUCGCUCCCUCGCUUCUUUUCUUUGAAAAUCUAAUGUAAAAAGAACAACUCUUAGCAAUGGAUAUCUUGGUUCUC
This 509-nucleotide unclassified non-coding RNA is filed under the name plant metagenome. RNAcentral's name for it is "partial contains small subunit ribosomal RNA, internal transcribed spacer 1, and 5.8S ribosomal RNA". The record is from RNAcentral.